This 1096-nucleotide long non-coding RNA is filed under the name Ficedula albicollis (Collared flycatcher). RNAcentral describes it as "lncRNA (ENSFALG00000022891.1)". Lineage: Eukaryota; Metazoa; Chordata; Aves; Passeriformes; Muscicapidae. The record is from RNAcentral.
CCCCCCCCCCCCCCCCCCCCCCCCCCCCCCCCUGGGGUUGGGGCUGGGGGCGCUGGCCAAGGACGGACCCUCGUUGUCCCGACCCACGGGCGGGCAGAGCUCCGAGCAUCCCGACCCCGAGCGACCCGCCCCGGCACGCUGAGGAGCGGAGGAGCAGAAGGGAGGGGAGGGAAGGGGAGGGAGCGGAGCGGAGCGGGACGAGCAGAGCCGGAGCCGCCGGCGUUUGAGGGCGGGCGCUGACGGAGCCGGGCGAGAGCAGCACGGCGGGGACAGCGGUGACUGCAAACUGGUGGAAGCAAUAGGACUAACAGGCUUGUUCAGGUUUGUGAAGACUUCAGGAGAUCCAGUCCUGGUGAAUGCAAGGAAAAGCAUGGGAAGCCUGCAGAUUGCAUACAGUGCAGUAAUGUGCACCAAUGCAUCGGGGCCUGGUGCUCAACACCUGAUUUCAGCAUUUGAAGACUAAUUGUUGAAGGGAAAAUCUGAAUAGUCUGAAGAAAUAAAUGAAAAUGGAGAUCUGCACUUAAAGAAGCCUUGAUUUGCAAAUCUGGCAAAAAAUAUGUUUGCAGAAGGAAUCCAGAUGUGUUGUUUUAUAUGUUUGGUACUCUAUUAAUAAAGGGUCCCCUAUAAAUACCAAAACCAUGACCCAUACCCAGCCAUUAGAGAGAAAAGGAAAAUAUUCUUGAGUGUAGCAAAGGGGCAUCAACUGCAUGCCCAGAUGGUUUUUUCCAUCUCUUACUCUUCAGUAUUGAUUUAUUUAACUUUGCAGAAGGUUAUGCCAGAAAGGAGGUGUGAAAAAACUACAAUAAAUAAUUAUAUCAUUUUCUUCAAUGUGAAAACCACCUAAAUUUCAAUAAUUUAUAGUACUGUUUUCAUUGUCAUACACCAGACUCCUGUCUGGAUGAUAUUUUGCUCCAACAAUGGUGUAAUUGAUGUGAUGUGAUGGAAAAUAUUGCAUAGGAGAGUACGUCAUCUACUGCCUCAGCUGAAGUUUUCAACAAGUUAAUAAUUCUUCAGUGUAGGACCAAAGUAUGAAAAAUUCUAUUUUAUCAAGAAAAGUGAGCAUCUUCCUUCAUCAUCCCAGAAAUAUUACACUGGA